GUACAAGUAGUCUCUCCUUCACCGUGUGGAAGAUGGAGAACAAUAGGUAAAGUGCUGGGGAGGAAGGCAUUGUGUAAAUGGGACCACAAGGGAGAACAUCAGCAAACUGGCGUUUGAGGUGCACUUGCUCCCACAUACAGAUCCCAGCCAUGGAAGGAUCUGGAUUAUAACUCUGGACUCUGAUUCAGCCUCAGAAUUUGUGAUAGGAGAGGGCUCUUGCUUCUGGAGUUCGACAAAAGGGCCUGGUGGAUGGUCCACAAACAUCAGCUUUCAAUGUCAUACUCUCUGUGUGAGCAAACUGUAUGAGUCAGUUAUUAAACUAGCCAUCUGUUGUAUUGUAUUCUAUUUUGACUUGUAAAUCAGUCAAUCAUGUCAUAGCAUUUUGUAUUGUUUCAACUGUGACUUUAGGAACCAUUCAGUCAUAUCCUGUAAUGUGAAAACACAUUUUUGUGACCAUUUAUGGCAAAGUUAGCUUACUGUUCACUGAAUACUUGAUAUUUUCCUAUAUUUAAAUAUACAGUACUGUAUAUAAAUCAAAAUAAAGUUAUUAAAGGAGGACAGUGAAUUACA
Long non-coding RNA from Alosa alosa (allis shad), 570 nucleotides. RefSeq lists it as uncharacterized. Lineage: Eukaryota; Metazoa; Chordata; Actinopteri; Clupeiformes; Clupeidae. The transcript has 2 exons. The record is from RefSeq and is a predicted model, not a curated record.